CCUACGGGGGGCAGCAGUGAGGAAUAUUGGUCAAUGGGCGGGAGCCUGAACCAGCCAAGUCGCGUGAGGGACGACGGUCCUAUGGAUUGUAAACCUCUUUUGUCGGGGAACAAAGGCGUCCACGGGUGGGCGGAUGAGUGUACCCGAAGAAAAAGCAUCGGCUAACUCCGUGCCAGCAGCCGCGGUAAUACGGAGGAUGCGAGCGUUAUCCGGAUUUAUUGGGUUUAAAGGGUGCGUAGGCGGGCAUUUAAGCCGGCGGUCAAAUGUCGGGGCUCAACCCCGGCCUGCCGUCGGAACUGGGUGCC
RNAcentral lists this ribosomal RNA (305 nucleotides) under uncultured bacterium. RNAcentral describes it as "bacterial SSU rRNA". It matches the Rfam family "Bacterial small subunit ribosomal RNA", at positions 338 to 641 of the family's 1533-position model. The record is from RNAcentral.